UUGACCUCGGAUCACGUAGGUACCCCA
RNAcentral lists this ribosomal RNA (27 nucleotides) under Alternaria sp. MY-2011. RNAcentral's name for it is "partial 28S large subunit ribosomal RNA". Lineage: Eukaryota; Fungi; Ascomycota; Dothideomycetes; Pleosporales; Pleosporaceae. The record is from RNAcentral.